GACGAACGCUGGCGGCGUGCUUAACACAUGCCAGUCGAACGGACAGGCCCUGCUUGCAGGGUACUCGCGUGGCGAACGGGCGAGUAACUCGCGGGUGGUUUGCCCUGCACUUCGGCUUAAGCCUGGGCAACUGGGUCUAAUUCAGGCCAGGUGCUAUAUUGAGUGUGAUGGUUGGAUAGUUUUUUCGGUGUUGGCUGAGCUCGCGGGCUAUCUGCUUGUUGGAGGAGUAAUGGCCUACCAAGGCGGCGUCGGGUAGCCGGACUGCGAGGGUGGCCGGCCACACUGAGACUGAGAGACGGCACAGGCACCGACGGGAGGCAGCAGUGGGGAAGAUUGCACGAUGAGCGCAAGCCGGAUGCAGAGGCGCCGCGGGUGGGAUGACGGUCUUCGGGGUGAAGACUCAAUGCGCUAGUGACGAAGCUUUUUGUGACGGUACCUAGAUAAGAAGCACCGGCUAACUACGUG
This 465-nucleotide ribosomal RNA is filed under the name uncultured bacterium. Its description in RNAcentral is "partial 16S ribosomal RNA". It matches the Rfam family "Bacterial small subunit ribosomal RNA", at positions 28 to 507 of the family's 1533-position model. The record is from RNAcentral.